UGUUCAGUUCAUGACACUGGCUGUCGUAGC
Molecule: non-coding RNA, 30 nt
Filed under: Mus musculus (house mouse)
Lineage: Eukaryota; Metazoa; Chordata; Mammalia; Rodentia; Muridae
Source: RNAcentral